UACGUAGGGUCCGAGCGUUGUCCGGAAUUACUGGGCGUAAAGAGCUCGUAGGUGGUUUGUCGCGUUGUUCGUGAAAACUCACAGCUUAACUGUGGGCGUGCGGGCGAUACGGGCAGACUAGAGUACUGCAGGGGAGACUGGAAUUCCUGGUGUAGCGGUGAAAUGCGCAGAUAUCAGGAGGAACACCGGUGGCGAAGGCGGGUCUCUGGGCAAUAACUGACGCUGAGGAGCGAAAGCGUGGGGAGCGAACAGG
Molecule: ribosomal RNA, 253 nt
Filed under: uncultured bacterium
Lineage: Bacteria
Description: partial 16S ribosomal RNA
Rfam family: Bacterial small subunit ribosomal RNA
Source: RNAcentral